CGGCAGUCCAGGUCCGGGGGCGCGGGGCGCGGGCAGCCACAGGUCCGCUGGGCUGGCGCCGAGCGCACUCAGGGUCCCGGGCAGCGAGAGGCCGCGCCUGUCACGGGCUCCGGCUCCACAAAGCGCAGGGAGGUGGCAGCGGGUGGCUCGGUGUGUGACCGCGGCCGCGCAGCGCGGGCCGCCGCUGGCACCGGGGGAGGAGGCUGGAGCGGCGCACGGAGCCCGGCCGCGGGCGGCUGCAAAAGGCGGCCUGGAUUGCCGCGCUGCCCGCUGGUCGCGCACUCCGGCCCCCGCCCGGGGACUCUGCGCCAGGCCUCCCGGUACCGCGCUGGUCUCUAGUUCCUUCCCCCAGAACCACAGGAAUAAAUCCUGGCAGCAAAGCACAGAAACUUCCUACCGCAGCGGGAGUGUGCAGGGAGCGCCCACGGUGCUGGGGCCGCGCGGGCACUCGGGGCCCUUCCCCGGCCCCUCCGUCUCUAGUCUCUAGUCUUCCCUCCCGGCGGGCACCGGCAGCGCUACCGCCGCACUCAGCCUCCCCUGGGCUCCAAAAUGGGAGGCUGGCCCCACGACCCUCGACCCUCGCGGUCCCUUCGACCCCCCGCGGUCCCUUCCGCCCCGGGAUUGUGGGCGGCUGCUCCUGCGAGGCCCAGGCAUUAGCCGGCACCUCGCAAGGCGCCGUUUCACAACUAAAUCACCGUGGAAGCUUCCCAGCCAAUAAAUCACCUGCCCACCGGGGGAGAGCCCUCCCACUCCCCGUGUUUGAGACCAGCCGGGCCAAUUGAGUGAGGAGCCAGACUUGGCCUGCAAGACAGAUCUGCAACCUCCCACUCCAUUCCUCGAGGCUCUGCAUUUUCAGAUUUCACCCCUUUCUAAGAUAUGACUCAUCACUGUCAAUUUUCACUAUAAUUCUUAUAGGUCAAAGGAAAAGUCUGUCCAGGCACAAAAAAAGCAAGCCCUCCUCCAGUCUGCAAGAGUGACCUCGGUUACUUAACAGAAGUAUCAUUCUAAUUACAACACGCAUCCUGGACUACGUGCAAGGCUUCUCCAUGGGGGACAUGGAGAGGAAUGAGGCUGCCCUGUCCUCAAGGAGCUCCAUGACAAACAGCAGGUAAGAUACAUGUGUGGAGGCAUUACAGACACAUCUGGGAUUUAAUUCAGCCAAAGGCACAGACUGUGUAGUCCAGAGCGCCUUCCCCAAGAUGGUGAGGCUCGCCCAGAUCACGAAGAACUGACAGCAUAUGCAGAGGUGGAGGGGGUUCGGAAGGCCCUCCAUGAAACAGAGGUGGUUAUAGGAGAGGAGAGUCUACACAAAGUCGAGGGUCAAGGGUGACAUCUGUAAACAACUGGGAGCCUCAGGGAUGGGUGAGGCCUAAGAAUGGAGUCCAGGACGGUGCAGAUCGCAGAUGGUGCGAUGGGCAUCUGUUGCCUUUGUUUGCCUUUCAAAAGCAGACAUUUUUCUCUAGCUCAGACUUCACCUACACUUUCUAUUCAGAGUAUCAUCCUUCACAGCCUCAACAUGGACAGUCACGUGUCCUAGACCACGGCCUCCUCGAGGCUCUCCAAUACACUCUCCAAGAGUAACUGUUUGGACCAAUAGGACAGAAGUGAUGCUGGUGGACUUCUGAGGCUGGAGUGUAAGCAAUACAGCUUUGGCUUGGCUCUGCCUCUGCAGACACACAGCGCUGAGCCACCAUAACACAAAGGCUGGCUCUCCGGAAGCCACCAGCAGUGCUGGGAGACCACACAGGGGUCAAGAGACGCCUAGAAGCUCCCCCUGUUCCAGCCCCCAGCUGCUGAGGCUUCCUGGCUCGGGCUCCUGAGUGAAGGCGCCUUCAAGAUGGCUCCAACCCCACCUACCAUCUGACUGCAACCUCACGAAAGCCCCUCAACUCAGAACCACACAGCUGAGCCACUUCUAAAUUCUCAUCCCACAGAAAUGGAGAGAUAAUAAAUGAAUAUUAUUGUUUUAA
Long non-coding RNA from Myotis daubentonii (Daubenton's bat), 1970 nucleotides. RefSeq lists it as uncharacterized. NCBI's taxonomy places the organism in Eukaryota, Metazoa, Chordata, Mammalia, Chiroptera, Vespertilionidae. The record is from RefSeq and is a predicted model, not a curated record.